Molecule: long non-coding RNA, 729 nt
Organism: Carya illinoinensis
Lineage: Eukaryota; Viridiplantae; Streptophyta; Magnoliopsida; Fagales; Juglandaceae
Exons: 2
Source: RefSeq, a predicted model, not a curated record
UGGGUUUUGGGAGAGAGAGAGAGAGAUAGACAUUAGACAUGAGUCGUAAAGCUGCCGGCAUGCAUCAUCAUCAUCAAACCCACCAUCACCUCAACCACAACCCACUCACAUUCCUUUGCCCCCUAAUCCGUCUCCAAACUCUGCCAAAAUUCCCUCAUACUUUUCCCUUUUUUUAUACUACUAAUAUACCCAUACAUGAAAAUGUCAUAUAAUAAUUCUGUAUUCAAAUACCAAAAUGUGCUUUCCGCAAAAUCUAGGGCAUGCCUUUCACCUUUUUCCCCACUCCAAUAUGAUUGUUUAUAAACACACUGUAAUCUCUUUCCCAACACCCUGACCGAUUGUUUAGGCCGUUCCUCUACAUAGCUAGCCCAACCCAUGCAUAGCUCUCCGGCCGGUCACUUCCUGUCACAGCCCUGGCCAAAAUCUGAUGUAUCUUCUGCCAUGCAAGUUAGUUCACUGUGUUUCUCGGAAGCAAUCAUUGCAAAUGUAGACAGAACCUGCUAGCACGGAGUAUUAAUGCUAGUACGUCUUCCAAUCCAAGAGCUAGCACCCAAUUACAGUCAUGCGCAUUUCUCUGUGACGGGCAGUGUGUUGAUCAAUCAACUCCCAAGAAUAUAUUAUGAUUAUCAUCAGAAGAAUUAUUGCCCGGAGGAAUCCUCACUGCCAAAAUUAUGUGAAGUUUGGACGUUAUUAGUAUAACAUGAUGAAUAUAUAUAAUAUAUAUGUAUA